This 495-nucleotide ribosomal RNA is filed under the name uncultured bacterium. RNAcentral describes it as "partial 16S ribosomal RNA". It matches the Rfam family "Bacterial small subunit ribosomal RNA", at positions 28 to 507 of the family's 1533-position model. The record is from RNAcentral.
GACGAACGCUGGCGGCGUGCCUAAUACAUGCAAGUAGAACGCUGAAGGAGGAGCUUGCUUCUCCGGAUGAGUUGCGAACGGGUGAGUAACGCGUAGGUAACCUGCCUGGUAGCGGGGGAUAACUAUUGGAAACGAUAGCUAAUACCGCAUAACAGUAGAUGUUGCAUGACAUUUGCUUAAAAGGUGCAAUUGCAUCACUACCAGAUGGACCUGCGUUGUAUUAGCUAGUUGGUGAGGUAACGGCUCACCAAGGCGACGAUACAUAGCCGACCUGAGAGGGUGAUCGGCCACACUGGGACUGAGACACGGCCCAGACUCCUACGGGAGGCAGCAGUAGGGAAUCUUCGGCAAUGGACGGAAGUCUGACCGAGCAACGCCGCGUGAGUGAAGAAGGUUUUGGGAUCGUAAAGCUCUGUUGUAAGAGAAGAACGAGUGUGAGAGUGGAAAGUUCACACUGUGACGGUAUCUUACCAGAAAGGGACGGCUAACUACGUG